AUUUCCAUAUCUGGGAGGAGGGAUAGGUUGAUAUGUAUUUCCAUUUCCAUAAUGGGGAGGAGUGAUAGGGUGAUAUGUAUUUCCAUUUCCAUAUUGGGGAGGAGUGCUUGGUUGAUAUGUAUUUUCAUUUCCAUGUUGGGGAGGAGUGAUAGGUUGAUAUGUAUUUCCAUUUCCAUAUUGGGGAGGAGUGCUAGGUUGAUAUGUAUUUCCAUUUCCAUGUUGGGGAGGAGACUCCACAUUCAGACUUUCUUGUAGGGCUCUGGCGAGUUGUUCAUCUUCUUCCAACUGAGAAUCAA
RNAcentral lists this long non-coding RNA (296 nucleotides) under Prunus persica (peach). RNAcentral describes it as "long non-coding RNA (PPER_LNC001413)". The record is from RNAcentral. Lineage: Eukaryota; Viridiplantae; Streptophyta; Magnoliopsida; Rosales; Rosaceae.